This 72-nucleotide transfer RNA is filed under the name Camelus dromedarius (Arabian camel). It matches the Rfam family "tRNA". From Rfam's summary of the family: Transfer RNA (tRNA) molecules are approximately 80 nucleotides in length. Lineage: Eukaryota; Metazoa; Chordata; Mammalia; Artiodactyla; Camelidae. RNAcentral also lists the same sequence under 1 other name. The record is from Rfam by way of RNAcentral.
AAGGGUAUAGCUCAGUGGUAAAGCCCAUGCUUAGUAUGCACCAGGUCCUGGGUUCAAUCCCCAGUGCCUCCA